Molecule: ribosomal RNA, 491 nt
Filed under: Pyramimonas sp. RCC5242
Lineage: Eukaryota; Viridiplantae; Chlorophyta; Pyramimonadophyceae; Pyramimonadales; Pyramimonadaceae
Description: SSU rRNA
Rfam family: Eukaryotic small subunit ribosomal RNA
Source: RNAcentral
GGAUUUCGGAUGGGUUUGACCGGUCCGCCGUUUCGGUGUGCACUGGUCGUACCUAUCUUGCUGUCGGGGACGCGCUUCUGGCCUUAAUUGGCUGGGACGCGGAGUCGGCGAUGUUACUUUGAAAAAAUUAGAGUGUUCAAAGCAGGCCUAAGCUCUGAAUACAUUAGCAUGGAAUAACGCUAUAGGACUCUGGUCUUAUUGCGUUGGUCUUCGAGACCGGAGUAAUGAUUAAGAGGGACAGUUGGGGGCAUUCGUAUUUCAUUGUCAGAGGUGAAAUUCUUGGAUUUAUGAAAGACGAACUUCUGCGAAAGCAUUUGCCAAGGAUGUUUUCAUUAAUCAAGAACGAAAGUUGGGGGCUCGAAGACGAUCAGAUACCGUCCUAGUCUCAACCAUAAACGAUGCCGACUAGGGAUUGGCGGAUGUUAAUUCGAUGACUUCGCCAGCACCUUAUGAGAAAUCAAAGUUUUUGGGUUCCGGGGGGAGUAUGGUCG